Molecule: long non-coding RNA, 548 nt
Organism: Passer domesticus (house sparrow)
Lineage: Eukaryota; Metazoa; Chordata; Aves; Passeriformes; Passeridae
Exons: 2
Source: RefSeq, a predicted model, not a curated record
AGGAGACCUUGCUGCAGGAGAGGCAUUCUGCAGGCCAUGACCUGGCUGAGGUCCACAUUUGAAAGGUGAUUUGUGUUGGGACAGGACCUGCUCCUAUGGCAGCAUCUCCUUCCAGAGGCUGAUUCCUGCCGUGUUUGAAGCACAAUUGCUGAUAUUCAGGAUCAUCUUCCAGCCUCUCCCGACAGCAGGGAGCUGUUUUCAGGCAGCAGCAGGAUCCCACCCAUUCCUGGGAGCUUCACGGGACACCCCAGUGAUAAUACCUUGUUUUUUGGAAUUUAUGGGCACAUAACCACCCAGAGCAGCACCUGAGCUGGAGACUGUGGGAAAACAAAAACAAACCGGUGUAAAAUGGAGCCACCUUCUUUCCCAGCCUGCAUCCGUGGGAUGAGGCAGAAGAAGGAUCUAUUCCAUCCCUCUGGAUGAGCAGCCUGCUCCUCCUGCCAGCACAUAUUGGCUGUUAAAUGCUUACCCAGCACCGGGAGGGGGGUUAUUAGGAGCACUGAAUUCCUUUGAUAAGUUCCCAGGUCAUAAAGCUGUUUGACUCCUCA